This is a transfer RNA of 63 nucleotides. It matches the Rfam family "tRNA". Rfam says of the family: Transfer RNA (tRNA) molecules are approximately 80 nucleotides in length. Their secondary structure includes four short double-helical elements and three loops (D, anti-codon, and T loops).
GCGCCAUUAGCUCAGUUGGUUAGAGCCUUUGGGUCGUAGGUUCAAGUCCUACAUGGCGAGCCA